GGAUGAAGAACGUAGCGAAAUGCGAUAAGUAAUGUGAAUUGCAGAAUUCAGUGAAUCAUCGAAUCUUUGAACGCACAUUGCGCCCCUUGGUAUUCCGAGGGGCAUGCCUGUUCGAGCGUCAUUUAACCCCUCAAGCUCAGCUUGGUGUUGGGGCCUGCUGCACUGGCAGCCCUUAAAAUCAGUGGCGGCGCCAUCUGGCUCUAAGCGUAGUAAUUCUUCUCGCUAUGGAGUCCUGGUGGAUGCUUGCCAUCAACCCCCAAUUUUUCUAUGGUUGACCUCGGAUCAGGUAGGGAUACCCGCUGAACUUAAGCAUAUCAAUAAGCGGAGGA
RNAcentral lists this unclassified non-coding RNA (329 nucleotides) under soil metagenome. RNAcentral's name for it is "partial contains 5.8S ribosomal RNA, internal transcribed spacer 2, and large subunit ribosomal RNA". The stretch from base 2 to 121 matches the Rfam family "5.8S ribosomal RNA", at positions 35 to 154 of the family's 154-position model. The record is from RNAcentral.